This 33-nucleotide ribosomal RNA is filed under the name Cycas circinalis. The record is from RNAcentral. Lineage: Eukaryota; Viridiplantae; Streptophyta; Cycadopsida; Cycadales; Cycadaceae.
GGGUGCGAUCACCCCAGCGCUAAUGCACCGGAU